RNAcentral lists this transfer RNA (73 nucleotides) under Felis catus (domestic cat). It matches the Rfam family "tRNA". From Rfam's summary of the family: Transfer RNA (tRNA) molecules are approximately 80 nucleotides in length. Their secondary structure includes four short double-helical elements and three loops (D, anti-codon, and T loops). Lineage: Eukaryota; Metazoa; Chordata; Mammalia; Carnivora; Felidae. The record is from Rfam by way of RNAcentral. RNAcentral also lists the same sequence under 3 other names.
GCCUGGCUGGCUCAGUCGGAAGAGCGUGUGACUCCUGAUCUUGGGGUUGUAGGUUCAAGCCCCACAUUAGGUG